Molecule: long non-coding RNA, 217 nt
Filed under: Elaeis guineensis (African oil palm)
Lineage: Eukaryota; Viridiplantae; Streptophyta; Magnoliopsida; Arecales; Arecaceae
Description: long non-coding RNA (EGUI_LNC014292)
Source: RNAcentral
UGGUCACUUACUCAUGAGAUGAUUUAGACAAUGGGUUAUCUUGAUUUUCAGGUGUAUCGAUAUGGUUGUCUACUUGUUUUCCAGAUCUUAAAGUAUGAAUUGUAUUUAAUUGAUUGAUCUGGGCUCCUUGUUGUGAUCCUUGAUUGUUCUAGGUUCUAGAAUUAACCUCGGAUUGACUCGAUAGUUUAUCUUUUUCUCUUUCACUCACAGUCGUAGC